RNAcentral lists this transfer RNA (73 nucleotides) under Canis lupus familiaris (dog). It matches the Rfam family "tRNA". From Rfam's summary of the family: Transfer RNA (tRNA) molecules are approximately 80 nucleotides in length. Their secondary structure includes four short double-helical elements and three loops (D, anti-codon, and T loops). Further hydrogen bonds mediate the characteristic L-shaped molecular structure. tRNAs have two regions of fundamental functional importance: the anti-codon, which is responsible for specific mRNA codon recognition, and the 3' end, to which the tRNAs corresponding amino acid is attached (by aminoacyl-tRNA synthetases). tRNAs cope with the degeneracy of the genetic code in two manners: having more than one tRNA (with a specific anti-codon) for a particular amino acid; and 'wobble' base-pairing, i.e. permitting non-standard base-pairing at the 3rd anti-codon position. Lineage: Eukaryota; Metazoa; Chordata; Mammalia; Carnivora; Canidae. RNAcentral also lists the same sequence under 3 other names. The record is from Rfam by way of RNAcentral.
GCCUGGCUGGCUCAGUUGGUAGAGCACGCAACUCUUGAUCUCAGGUUCAUGAGUUUAAAUCCCAUGUUGAGCA